This 519-nucleotide ribosomal RNA is filed under the name uncultured bacterium. RNAcentral describes it as "partial 16S ribosomal RNA". It matches the Rfam family "Bacterial small subunit ribosomal RNA", at positions 28 to 507 of the family's 1533-position model. The record is from RNAcentral.
GACGAACGCUGGCGGCGUGCCUAAUACAUGCAAGUCGAGCGAGUCUGCCUUGAAGAUCGGAGUGCUUGCACUCUGUGAAACAAGAUACAGGCUAGCGGCGGACGGGUGAGUAACACGUGGGUAACCUGCCCAAGAGAUCGGGAUAACACCUGGAAACAGAUGCUAAUACCGGAUAACAACAGAUGAUGCCUAUCAACUGUUUAAAAGAUGGUUCUGCUAUCACUCUUGGAUGGACCUGCGGUGCAUUAGCUAGUUGGUAGGGUAACGGCCUACCAAGGCGGUGAUGCAUAGCCGAGUUGAGAGACUGAUCGGCCACAUUGGGACUGAGACACGGCCCAAACUCCUACGGGAGGCAGCAGUAGGGAAUCUUACACAAUGGACGCAAGUCUGAUGGAGCAACGCCGCGUGAGUGAAGAAGGGUUUCGGCUCGUAAAGCUCUGUUGUUGGUGAAGAAGGACAGGGGUAGUAACUGACCUUUGUUUGACGGUAAUCAAUUAGAAAGUCACGGCUAACUAAGUG